GUUUCUAUAGCUUAAUGGUAAAGCAUUACACUGUUAAUGUAACAAUCCUAGUUCAAUUCUAGGUAGAAACG
This 71-nucleotide transfer RNA is filed under the name Insectozyma bohioensis. RNAcentral describes it as "Candida bohioensis tRNA-Asn". It matches the Rfam family "tRNA". From Rfam's summary of the family: Transfer RNA (tRNA) molecules are approximately 80 nucleotides in length. Lineage: Eukaryota; Fungi; Ascomycota; Pichiomycetes; Serinales; Debaryomycetaceae. The record is from RNAcentral.